UGCCAGCAGCCGCGGUAAUACGGAGGGUGCAAGCGUUGCUCGGAGUUACUGGGCAUAAAGCGCGCGUAGGUGGCUUAGUAAGCGGAGAAUGAAAUCCCAUGGCUCACCCAUGGAACUGUUUUCCGAACUACUAGGCUUGAGGACAGGAGGGGGAAGUGGAAUUCCUGGUGUAGCGGUGAAAUGCGUAGAUAUCAGGAGGAACACCGGUGGCGAAAGCGACUUCCUGGCCUGUUCCUGACACUGAGGCGCGAAAGCUAGGGGAGCAAACAGGAUUAGAUA
Molecule: ribosomal RNA, 279 nt
Filed under: uncultured bacterium
Lineage: Bacteria
Description: partial 16S ribosomal RNA
Rfam family: Bacterial small subunit ribosomal RNA
Source: RNAcentral